This 520-nucleotide ribosomal RNA is filed under the name uncultured bacterium. RNAcentral's name for it is "bacterial SSU rRNA". It matches the Rfam family "Archaeal small subunit ribosomal RNA", at positions 345 to 866 of the family's 1478-position model. The record is from RNAcentral.
AACCUCCGCAAUGUGAGAAAUCGCGACGGGGGGAUCCCAAGUGCCAUUCUUAACGGGAUGGCUUUUCUUAAGUGUAAAAAGCUUUUGGAAUAAGAGCUGGGCAAGACCGGUGCCAGCCGCCGCGGUAACACCGGCAGCUCUAGUGGUAGCUGUUUUUAUUGGGCCUAAAGCGUUCGUAGCCGGUUUGAUAAGUCACUGGUGAAAUCCUGUAGCUUAACUGUGGGAAUUGCUGGUGAUACUGUUGAACUUGAGGUCGGGAGAGGUUAGUGGUACUCCCAGGGUAGAGGUGAAAUUCUGUAAUCCUGGGAGGACCGCCUGUUGCGAAGGCGUCUAACUGGAACGGUUCUGACGGUGAGGGACGAAAGUUAGGGGCGCGAACCGGAUUAGAUACCCGGGUAGUCCUAACUGUAAACGAUGCGGACUUGGUGUUGGGUGGCUUUGAGCUGCUCCAGUGCCGAAGGGAAGCUGUUAAGUCCGCCGCCUGGGAAGUACGGUCGCAAGACUGAAACUUAAAGGAAUU